UUAGUGUUUACAGGGGUGGUCUUGGGUCUGGAGAUCCUGGGUUCAAGUCCUCGGGCUGCCAACUAAGGUAAACUGCUGUGGGCCCCUAAGCAAGGCCCUUAACCCCCAGCUGCUCCCCGGGCACUGAAAUCUGGCAGCCCACUGCUCCUAGCAACUACAAUGGGUUAAAUGCAGAGAAAGAAUUUCUCAGCUGGGAUUA
Melanotaenia boesemani (Boeseman's rainbowfish) is the source of this 199-nucleotide long non-coding RNA. RefSeq lists it as uncharacterized. The transcript is spliced from 3 exons. NCBI's taxonomy places the organism in Eukaryota, Metazoa, Chordata, Actinopteri, Atheriniformes, Melanotaeniidae. The record is from RefSeq and is a predicted model, not a curated record.